RNAcentral lists this unclassified non-coding RNA (404 nucleotides) under soil metagenome. Its description in RNAcentral is "partial contains 5.8S ribosomal RNA, internal transcribed spacer 2, and large subunit ribosomal RNA". The stretch from base 1 to 121 matches the Rfam family "5.8S ribosomal RNA", at positions 35 to 154 of the family's 154-position model. The record is from RNAcentral.
GAUGAAGAACGUAGCGAAAUGCGAUAAGUAAUGUGAAUUGCAGAAUUCAGUGAAUCAUCGAAUCUUUGAACGCACCUUGCGCCCUUUGGCUAUUCCGAAGGGCAUGCCUGUCUGAGUAUCAUGAACACCUCAACCCUCAUGGUUUGCCAUGAGGGGCUUGGACUUUGGGGGUCUUGCUGGAUUGUAGUCAGCUCCCCUUAAAUGAAUCAGCUUGCCAGUGUUUGGUGGCAUCACAGGUGUGAUAAAUAUCUACGCUUGUGGUUUUACAUCAGAUAACCUUCAGUGAUGGAGGUUCACUGGAGCUCAUAAAGGUGUCUCUCCUCUGUGAGGACAGCUCUUUGAAUGUUUGAUCUCAAAUCAGGCAGGACUACCCGCUGAACUUAAGCAUAUCAAUAAGCGGAGGA